This is a non-coding RNA of Vicugna pacos (alpaca), 657 nucleotides long. NCBI's taxonomy places the organism in Eukaryota, Metazoa, Chordata, Mammalia, Artiodactyla, Camelidae. The record is from RefSeq and is a predicted model, not a curated record.
GAAGGAGGCGUGGCCAAACGAGGGGGCGGGGCCGAAGGAGGCGUGUGCGACAGGUGGAGAGGGACUGGCAAACCUCAGCGCUCAGGCCCGAGGGUCGCAGAAGAAGCGUAAAUUGAAAGAUUAUUCAAAUAGCACUGGGCAACAGAAUGGGUUCAAGCCCCGCGACAAGGUGAUCUUCCUGCUCCUGCAAUGAACAGGGACCUGCUGAUUGAGAGGGAAUCCAUUUCGCGUUUGUGGGAAGAUCAGAAGUGUAUUUCUUGGAGUCCAGAGCACCAUUCCAGGGGGAAGGGCUUCAGGAGGACAGUACCUGUUGGCCUUACACGGCUAAUUCCGUGGAUGAAAGGAAGAUAUAAAGGUUCCAAGUCCAAGACUCACCAGCAUGGCCACUAUACCUGUUUAUUCUCCAUUUUGUUCAGCAAUUAAAUUUGUGACCUGGCUCUAUUGCAUCCAUAUUCCAAGUAGGAAGCCAAACAGAAGGAAAAAUCACUUGCCUAAAGCCUCAUCCCAUGAUGACAUCAGCCUUCUAGUCAGUGUCCAGCAUGCCAUCAUUUAAAUCUGGUCCAGGUGAGGGUGAGGAUUUUUGAACAUUGUUCCUCUGGAAUGACUCCUUGAAAACUGUUCCUUUUAACUGAAAGACUUGUGAACUUCAGCAAUAAA